AGAGUUUUAGCGUGCUCGAUAUUCAUUCGGGAUAACAUCUACCUAAGUGGCAUUGUCGGAGCAGCAAUGAAGAAAAAGGUAUCAUAUAUAUACAAGAUAAGAUAAGACAAAAAUUCUGGAGAUCCUUUAAACACACACUGUGAGUGUCCAGCAGGGAAGGGGCCUCAUUGACGCUGCAGACACAUUGCUGCAGUUCUCCUGAUGAUAAAAGAGUUUGCAGAAUCAGGAAAACUCAAACUAGGGAAGUCUUGCACUGAUACAUUAAUGAUGUUUACAAAACCAAAAUCCUCCUAUGAUGGAUCUCCAGUCAAAGCUGAAAAGCUGCCAACCAAGAGAAAGCUAGCUGUAGACUUCCUCAGUGACCCAAGGCCUGAGAAAAGAAGAAACUGUUCUGGUUACAAUUACUUUGUACAAUCUUUACUUACCAAUUAUUGCAGGCAGUCCUCAAAUGAUAUCUCAU
This is a long non-coding RNA of Saccostrea echinata, 460 nucleotides long. RefSeq lists it as uncharacterized. The record is from RefSeq and is a predicted model, not a curated record. The transcript is spliced from 3 exons. NCBI's taxonomy places the organism in Eukaryota, Metazoa, Mollusca, Bivalvia, Ostreida, Ostreidae.